This 471-nucleotide ribosomal RNA is filed under the name Pseudomonas sp. BF.100. RNAcentral's name for it is "bacterial SSU rRNA". It matches the Rfam family "Bacterial small subunit ribosomal RNA", at positions 15 to 478 of the family's 1533-position model. The record is from RNAcentral. Lineage: Bacteria; Pseudomonadati; Pseudomonadota; Gammaproteobacteria; Pseudomonadales; Pseudomonadaceae.
GAUCAUGGCUCAGAUUGAACCGCUGGCGGCAGGCCUAACACAUGCAAAGUCGAGCGGUAGAGAGAAGCUUGCUUCUCUUGAGAGCGGCGGACGGGUGAGUAAUSCCUAGGAAUACUGCCUGGUAGUGGGGGAUAACGUUCGGAUACGGACGCUAAUACCGCAUACGUCCUACGGGAGAAAGCAGGGGACCUUCGGGCCUUGCGCUAUCAGAUGAGCCUAGGUCGGAUUAGCUAGUUGGUGAGGUAAUGGCUCACCAAGGCGACGAUCCGUAACUGGUCUGAGAGGAUGAUCAGUCACACUGGAACUGAGACACGGUCCAGACUCCUACGGGAGGCAGCAGUGGGGAAUAUUGGACAAUGGGCGAAAGCCUGAUCCAGCCAUGCCGCGUGUGUGAAGAAGGUCUUCGGAUUGUAAAGCACUUUAAGUUGGGAGGAAGGGUUGUAGAUUAAUACUCUGCAAUUUUGACGUUAC